CUGGCGCCCGGCACCCACGUGCGGUAACCGCGGCUCCUCGAGAGCUCCAGGGAUGCGGAUCUACAGUAAGGGCUGUGGCCAGAUGAAUGAAUGCACAUUUUUUAGUGGGCAGAAAGAUGUUAGAAUUCAUGAAUUAGAAUAAGCACAAAGGAGGGCGAGAGGGGAGGCCGUGGAAGCCGCAUUCCUCCCCUUGCCUUGGGCGCCCACCCCCGAAGGGGCGCGUCCCCUCCCUGCUCCACUGCACGUGGGUGUUUAACCAGGGGAUAUCCAGUGCCUCAAGCACCACGACCCGGGAGAAAACUGAGUUGAGAAGGCCUUGGGGAUGAAGGUGAGAAAUUCGAGAAUCCCCGGAGAUAACACAUCAGCAAAUAGUGCGCAGGCAGAACAAGCUGUUGGAGGUGAGAGACACAGAGCAGAGAAGCACCCGCACCUGGAGAGUCAGGAGGGCCUCACAUCAGAACGCCUGAGCAAAUACAGUUUUGAAGGAUACUAAUUUUUUAAAAAGUUCAUUCACAUGAGUUAGACAAAGAGAAAGAAGCAGGACAUUCUAGGAAGAAGGAACGGCCCAGGCAAAAGCGACGCGUACAUUGGCGUGGGUCCAUUCAAGAAUUGUGCCCACAAUAUACCAGGCACUUGUCCAGACCUGCAUCGUCCAAUGCCCACCUCGACCUCCCAAAGUGUUGGGAUUAGAGGCGUGAGCCACCGCGCCCUGCCUGCAUGUGGCUAUUGAGAUGUGCUGUAUGAUACACACCGGACUUUGAAGACUCAGUGUGAAAAAUAAAAAGAAUUUUAAGAGGGGUGGGGGUCGAGGGGAGGCAGAGCAGUAGGACAAAUAGCUAAUGCACGCAGGGCUUAAAACCUAGACAACAGGUUGAUGGGUGCAGCAAACCACCAUGACACAUGUUUAUCUAUAUAGCACCUACAUGUUCUGCACUUGUAUCCUGGAACUUAAAAUUAGAAAAAAAAAAUAAUAAAAGCCAACAUGGCAUUCAUUACUGCCAAAAAAAUUAAAACACAUUGUUAAUUUUGUAUAUUGAUUACAGGUUGAACUGAUAAUAUUUUGAAUAUAUUGGGUUAAAGAAAUACAUUUAAAAUUAGUGGCUAGGCACAGUGGCUCAUGCCUGUAACCCCAGCACUUUGGGAGGCUGAGGCGGGUGGAUCACCUGAGGUCUGGAGUUCGAGAUGAGCCUGGCCAACAUGGUGAAACCCCAUUUCUACUAAAAAUACAAAAAUCAGCCGGGUGUGGUGGUGAGUGCCUGUAAUCCCAACUACUUGGGAGGCUGAGGCAGGAGAAUCGUUUGAACCCGGGAGGUGUAGGUUACAGUGAGCCGAGAUUGUCCCACUGCACUCCAGCCUGGGUGACAGAGUGAGACUCCAUCUUAAUAAUAAUAAUAAAACUAUUUCUUGCUGUUUUACUUUUCUAAUGUGACCACCAGAAAAGUUUAGAUGGCUUGUGUGACUCUCAUCAUUGAACGGAGCUGUUCUAAACAUGGGUAAGACAACGCAGAGCUUCGGUUGCAGGACAGAGAAUGAAAUAAUAGACCCAUAAGACAGAUAAGUGACUGAUUGUGACUGCUAGGGUGUUUACAGCAUAGGCCGGUGACAGGAACGAGGAGUGUGGGGAUGAGAGCCGACGUGGGCGAGAGUGCAUGCAAUGCAGGGUCAGACGUUGGAUUCAUCUCUCAGGAGUUGAAAAAGGUGGCGUUCCUGUUCUUUAUUGGCAUUGCUUGUGACACGAGGAUUGCCCCUCUUCCUGAAGAGGUUGGUCAGGAAAAUUUUU
Molecule: long non-coding RNA, 1780 nt
Filed under: Homo sapiens (human)
Lineage: Eukaryota; Metazoa; Chordata; Mammalia; Primates; Hominidae
Description: non-protein coding RNASEH1-AS1:28
Source: RNAcentral